AGGGAAUAUUGCGCAAUGGGGGAAACCCUGACGCAGCAAUACCACGUGAGUGAGGAAGGCCUUCGGGUUGUAAAGCUCUGUCCUAUGGGAAGAAUGGCGAUUAAGCUAAUAUCUUAGUCGAUUGACGGUACCAUAGAAGAAAGCACCGGCUAACUCCGUGCCAGCAGCCGCGGUAAUACGGAGGGUGCAAGCGUUGUUCGGAUUUACUGGGCGUAAAGCGCGCGCAGGCGGGUUUUUAAGUCAGAUGUGAAAUCUCGGGGCUUAACCCCGAACGUGCGUCUGAAACUAAAAAUCUAGAGUGUCAUAGGGGGUAGGGGAAUUUCACGUGUAGGGGUAAAAUCCGUAGAGAUGUGAAGGAACACCGGUGGCGAAGGCGCCUACCUGGAUGACUACUGACGCUGAGGCGCGAAAGCGUGGGGAGCAAAC
This 426-nucleotide ribosomal RNA is filed under the name uncultured bacterium. Its description in RNAcentral is "bacterial SSU rRNA". It matches the Rfam family "Bacterial small subunit ribosomal RNA", at positions 356 to 773 of the family's 1533-position model. The record is from RNAcentral.